RNAcentral lists this long non-coding RNA (265 nucleotides) under Hordeum vulgare. RNAcentral's name for it is "long non-coding RNA (HVUL_LNC008533)". The record is from RNAcentral. Lineage: Eukaryota; Viridiplantae; Streptophyta; Magnoliopsida; Poales; Poaceae.
AUGAAUUUAUGAAAUACUUUUAUUUUGUUUUCAAAUUUUUGGAUCCGGACAUACUCGAAUCAACGCGGGUCUGAGAUGGGAAUUCGAUGACGUGGCACCAUUAGCCGGUGAUCAGUGUAGCUUAAUUACAAUAAUUACUGUUGCAAAAGUCAAGGAUGUCACAUCAAGCCACCAUUUUUCAAACCUAAACAUCCUAGGGGAGGUAACCCUCCGAGCCCAAGUAUCAAGGAUGAGCGAGGUAUGAUCACUUCCCACUCUGGGCAGA